Bufo bufo (common toad) is the source of this 176-nucleotide long non-coding RNA. RefSeq lists it as uncharacterized. Lineage: Eukaryota; Metazoa; Chordata; Amphibia; Anura; Bufonidae. The record is from RefSeq and is a predicted model, not a curated record. The transcript is spliced from 3 exons.
AAUUUAAUGGAAUGUAUAAUCUAACACAUGGAUGUCAAACUCAUGGCCCUCCAGCUGUUGCAAAACUACAACUCCCAGCAUUCCCUGAUAGCUGUAGUAUGCCCAGGCAUGAUGGAGUUGUAGUUUUGCAACAGCUGGAGGGCCACGAGUUUGACAUCCCUGAUCUAACACCACUG